RNAcentral lists this ribosomal RNA (429 nucleotides) under Bacteroidota bacterium. RNAcentral's name for it is "Bacteroidetes bacterium partial 16S ribosomal RNA". It matches the Rfam family "Bacterial small subunit ribosomal RNA", at positions 355 to 776 of the family's 1533-position model. The record is from RNAcentral. Lineage: Bacteria; Pseudomonadati; Bacteroidota.
UAGGGAAUCUUCGGCAAUGGGGGGAACCCUGACCGAGCAACGCCGCGUGAGUGAAGAAGGUUUUCGGAUCGUAAAGCUCUGUUGUUAAGGAAGAACGAGUGUGAGAAUGGAAAGUUCAUGCUGUGACGGUACUUAACCAGAAAGGGACGGCUAACUACGUGCCAGCAGCCGCGGUAAUACGUAGGUCCCGAGCGUUGUCCGGAUUUAUUGGGCGUAAAGCGAGCGCAGGCGGUUAGGAAAGUCUGAAGUGAAAGGCAGUGGCUCAACCAUUGUAGGCUUUGGAAACUGUUUAACUUGAGUGCAGAAGGGGAGAGUGGAAUUCCAUGUGUAGCGGUGAAAUGCGUAGAUAUAUGGAGGAACACCGGUGGCGAAAGCGGCUCUCUGGUCUGUAACUGACGCUGAGGCUCGAAAGCGUGGGGAGCGAACAGG